Molecule: ribosomal RNA, 758 nt
Filed under: Lactiplantibacillus plantarum
Lineage: Bacteria; Bacillati; Bacillota; Bacilli; Lactobacillales; Lactobacillaceae
Description: bacterial SSU rRNA
Rfam family: Bacterial small subunit ribosomal RNA
Source: RNAcentral
AGCGUGGUAGAUGUGGCUCAAUGAUUGGUGCUUGCAUCAUGAUUUACAUUUGAGUGAGUGGCGAACUGGUGAGUAACACGUGGGAAACCUGCCCAGAAGCGGGGGAUAACACCUGGAAACAGAUGCUAAUACCGCAUAACAACUUGGACCGCAUGGUCCGAGUUUGAAAGAUGGCUUCGGCUAUCACUUUUGGAUGGUCCCGCGGCGUAUUAGCUAGAUGGUGAGGUAACUGAUCACCAUGGCAAUGAUACGUAGCCGACCUGAGAGGGUAAUCGGCCACAUUGGGACUGAGACACGGCCCAAACUCCUACGGGAGGCAGCAGUAGGGAAUCUUCCACAAUGGACGAAAGUCUGAUGGAGCAACGCCGCGUGAGUGAAGAAGGGUUUCGGCUCGUAAAACUCUGUUGUUAAAGAAGAACAUAUCUGAGAGUAACUGUUCAGGUAUUGACGGUAUUUAACCAGAAAGCCACGGCUAACUACGUGCCAGCAGCCGCGGUAAUACGUAGGUGGCAAGCGUUGUCCGGGAUUUAUUGGGCGUAAAGGCGAGCGCAGGCGGUUUUUUAAGUCUGAUGUGAAAGCCUUCGGCUCAACCGAAGAAGUGCAUCGGAAACUGGGAAACUUGAGUGCACAAGAGGACAGUGGAACUCCAUGUGUAGCGGUGAAAUGCGUAGAUAUAUGGAAGAACACCAGUGGCGAAGGCGGCUGGUCUGGUCUGUAACUGACCUGAGGCUCGAAAGUAUGGGUAACAAACAGGAUAA